CAGCCAAUGAUGAUGUGGCCACUGCACAAUCUGAGUUCUGGGAACCACAUGGUGGAGUGUGUUCUGGGAAUAGACUGCAGCAA
Macaca fascicularis (crab-eating macaque) is the source of this 83-nucleotide non-coding RNA. The record is from Ensembl. Lineage: Eukaryota; Metazoa; Chordata; Mammalia; Primates; Cercopithecidae.